Molecule: non-coding RNA, 28 nt
Filed under: Cricetulus griseus (Chinese hamster)
Lineage: Eukaryota; Metazoa; Chordata; Mammalia; Rodentia; Cricetidae
Source: RNAcentral
GAUACCCUGAGAAGCCAUCAGGAAUAGG